Rhodamnia argentea is the source of this 1037-nucleotide long non-coding RNA. RefSeq lists it as uncharacterized. The record is from RefSeq and is a predicted model, not a curated record. Lineage: Eukaryota; Viridiplantae; Streptophyta; Magnoliopsida; Myrtales; Myrtaceae. The transcript is spliced from 3 exons.
UGUAUUCGCUGCAAGAAGAUUGGGUGACCAUGAUGUAACUCUUUUUGAUGAAGCUUCGUCAAACUUGCUCAACAGUGUGGUGACACAACUCUAGAAGAGAUUGACACUGUGCAAGUGCAGCCAUUUCAUUAUAAAAAGCAAGAUUAGCUGCCACUCCGUUACAUUCUGUCUUAUCUCUGUUUUAGUAGCCCAUCUUUCUGUCUGAUUACUUCGGUCAUCGUCUGAUACAUAGGACUAGGGAUUAUCUAGAAACCUAUUCCAAUGCCGCUCGGCCGUCGUCCCCACACCGACAUCCGAGGUUCCCCUGCCUUCAUUUCCCACCACCAUGCCGUUGUUUCCUUUAUUGUUCCCGUGCUGAUCAACUUCAUCGAGGUGAAAUAUCAAGGGAAUCGUAAGUCCCCAUUUGACACCCACUCUUCAACCACCUCUGUUGCCAUCUUCUGUCUCCUGUUCUAUUGCUCAUUGGCACUCGUUGCUCAUCUAUCGCUGACCCCUGCUUCUUGUGCCCGAGCGUUUCACAUCCUCAUGAUGCUCGCCGCUUUGCUUUCGGUGGCUUCGCUUGGAUCGUUGUUGUUCGAAAGCCCCUCUCUCUUUCCUCUAUUUGUUGUUGUUCAUAACACUUCUCGUGGUCCUCUUGCAUGGUCUUGCUAAAAAAAUUUAUGAGUGGAUUCAACACAAGAUCGUGCUUAUGUCUGUCCGGGUGUCCCGAUCUCGCCGACUGCAUGGCGGAAGAGCACGGCCAAUUUUGCCUCGUACAGUCAUGGAAGCACGCUUUGCACCAGAAUUCGCAAUUGGUCCAUGUUGACAGCCACAAAACUACAAAUGGAAACGCGAGCAGGGAAUAAACAAUAAAAGGCGCAUUUGGAUCUUAAUUCUUAUGGCUUUGCUUUUGUUGGUAAUUAGUGAGAGUCGCAUUGUAUCCUGUAUUAUGAUUGAUCAAUAGAAUGGACUUAGGUAGCAAAAAGUCAAAGUGAGACCAUGAACGACUGCUUUGGAGGGAGUUGACAUUGAAUUCUCUCCAUUCCAAGAGGCCUCGU